UCCUUAGAAACCAUCUAGUCUGCUUUUUCC
RNAcentral lists this non-coding RNA (30 nucleotides) under Homo sapiens (human). Lineage: Eukaryota; Metazoa; Chordata; Mammalia; Primates; Hominidae. The record is from RNAcentral.